Astatotilapia calliptera (eastern happy) is the source of this 672-nucleotide long non-coding RNA. The record is from Ensembl. Lineage: Eukaryota; Metazoa; Chordata; Actinopteri; Cichliformes; Cichlidae.
CUUAGGGACUAGUAAAGCGCUAUAUAAAUACAGGCCAUUCCUUCUGUCUGCAUUUGUAGACGGCAUCAAUUAUCAUGAGACACCAAUACCAUGCAUCAUCAUCAUCAUCAUCAUGGGUGUUUAUCUGGUUUUCGCUGUGUUCAUGAUCAGUAAGAGAAACCGCUACCACUGUACAGUAACCGAUGCUGUUGAUCUCUAUACUGUGUGUUCCACUGAGCAUAACACCAAUCACUUUGCCUGCUUUUCAGAGUUUAGCUCAGGACUUUCACCUCUGUCCAAGGUUCGAUGUGAAGAAAACCUCGAAAUCAAGAGAUCAAAUGAACAGAGAGAUGGUAUCUGGAGUGAAUGUGUGUACUCCAGGGUGAAGCUACACUGAACUGAAGCCGUUCCGACUUUGAUGCCACAUGUCUAGACAUGAACUUAUUACUGUAGCUUUGAAAUGUUUAGGCUGUUCUCUAGCUCUUUCUAACAUUAUCCUGCUCGAUCGGUUUAAAGCCUGCUCUUUUUUUCUUUGUUUUGUUCUAAAUAAAAUUUUUGUUAUCUAUUCUGUAAGACAGAGGAAUGUGAGAUGAAAGCUGACAUGUUGAUGUAAUCUCUUGCUCACUUUCUUUCUCUUUCUGUCAUUUUUAUAUGACAGACCAGUUUUUUUUUUAUCAAUAAUAAGCACAAACC